GACUUGCUGAACAACCCAGAUGCUGUAGCAACUGACGCAGUGAUCUCAUUCAAGACAGCGAUCUGGUUCUGGAUGACGGCACAAUCACCGAAGCCUUCAUGCCACGACGUCAUCACCGGAAGAUGGAGUCCAUCAAGUGCUGAUCAGGCAGCAGGGAGGGUUUCCGGGUACGGCACUGUCACCAACAUCAUCAACGGUGGACUUGAAUGCGGGAAAGGGCAGGAUAGCAGGGUGCAGGAUCGCAUAGGGUUUUAUAAGAGAUACUGUGACUUGCUUGGAGUUGGGUAUGGCAAUAACCUUGACUGUGCUUCUCAGAGACCAUUUGGCUCUAAUUCACAGCUCCUUCUCGACACCAUCUAGUUACUUUUUGUUUUAAUAAAUAAAUAACCUGAACAUCACCAGUGCGGGUUCAUUGGG
This 417-nucleotide long non-coding RNA is filed under the name Lotus japonicus. Its description in RNAcentral is "long non-coding RNA (LJAP_LNC001176)". Lineage: Eukaryota; Viridiplantae; Streptophyta; Magnoliopsida; Fabales; Fabaceae. The record is from RNAcentral.